RNAcentral lists this long non-coding RNA (283 nucleotides) under Elaeis guineensis (African oil palm). RNAcentral describes it as "long non-coding RNA (EGUI_LNC073259)". Lineage: Eukaryota; Viridiplantae; Streptophyta; Magnoliopsida; Arecales; Arecaceae. The record is from RNAcentral.
GCUAAGGCCUUUCAGUGUCCACCCUAAUAUGUUAGUGCUUGGCUCUAUCGAAUGACUUUGUCCCUUACGAGGCCUUUCACUUCUCACAAUCCUAAGCUAUCUUCUAAAAAAAGUGGAUCUUCCUAAUCAAUAUUGCUCGAUAGAAAGGGAGUCUUUUGCCUCCUUCUAAGGUGUCUGUCAGGUUGAUGUUUCCUUAUCCCACUCUAGUGCUGGGAGGAAGCCUUCUUUCGCUAUCGGGAUACGUUGGACUGGAAAAAAGCAAUGGCCUCCUGUACUUGGCCCG